GACGAACGCUGGCGGCGUGCUUAACACAUGCAAGUCGAACGGAAAGGCCCUUACCGGGGUACACGAGUGGCGGACGGGGGCGUAACACGUGAGUAACCUGCCCACAACUAUAGGAUAACGCUAGGAAACUGGUGCUAAUACUGGUAAUGUGCUACUGCUGCAUGGGGGGGGUUGGAAAGCUCCGGCGGUUGUGGGUGGACUCGAGGCCUAGCGGCUCGCUGGGGGGGUAGUGGCGUACCGAGGCGGCGUCGGGAAGCCGGGCUGGGUGGGUGACCGACCGCACUGGGUCUUAGGGACGGCCCAGGCUCCGACUGUUGGCAGCAGGGGGGAAUCUUGCCCGAGCGGCGCCAGCCUGGUGCAGCAGGGCCGCGGGUGGGAAGACUGCCUUCGGGUUGUAAACCGCUUUCAGCAGUGACGAAGCUUUUUGUGACGGUACCUGCAGAAGAAGCACCGGCUAACUACGUG
This 465-nucleotide ribosomal RNA is filed under the name uncultured bacterium. RNAcentral's name for it is "partial 16S ribosomal RNA". It matches the Rfam family "Bacterial small subunit ribosomal RNA", at positions 28 to 507 of the family's 1533-position model. The record is from RNAcentral.